Molecule: long non-coding RNA, 208 nt
Filed under: Elaeis guineensis (African oil palm)
Lineage: Eukaryota; Viridiplantae; Streptophyta; Magnoliopsida; Arecales; Arecaceae
Description: long non-coding RNA (EGUI_LNC041176)
Source: RNAcentral
GUUGAGUUAGGAUAUGCAUGAGACCAUUAAAGCCCUCCUAAAAAUCAUAUUAAGUCGUAGUAUUAUGAACUAGUAGCAGAUUAAUUUCUUGAAUCGAUUAAUCAAUUGAUGUCUAAGGAGUGUUUCAAGUAUGGUGGUUCUUUAAUUGAUUUCGUUCGCUGAUCUACCAAUUUAUUAGUGUUUAAGAUGUUGGGUUUCAGUGACGUAG